CUGCAGCCUGGGGAGGUUUGGGGUGGGCCGGGGAGACCCGCUGGGAAAUCUGGGCAGGCUGGGUCCUGGGGGCCCUCACUGCCUGGGCUGUGCGAGUUCACAUUUUGCUCAUGUGUUCUCGUUCGGAUCAAGUGACAGUAAAGCAGAAUGGAUCCUUCUCUCUUGGCUGGGAGAUUGAUUAACUAAAUUCAUGAACAAAGAAGAGAUCGUGGCUGUGGUAGAAGCCAAAAUCCACAAAAUCUGCAGCCCAACUAGCCUGAUGAAUGAAUUCAGCUCCCUGGUCUUCUGCUGGGAGAAGUAGCUUGUUCAGUGUGAGAACACUGGGCAGCUAUGUCUGACCCGCCUGCACUGGAACCCAGUUCUGCCAGGUUCCAGCAAGGCAUUUGGGCUCUGAGCCUCAGUGUUCUCACCUGUGAAAUGGGUAACGUUAUGCCCCAGCACUCAGUGGGUGCUCAGUCAGCUGCCUCCCCAGAUAGCGGUUGGUGUCCCUUAGGGGAUCAUGGCCUGUCAAUCCACCCAUCCAUGCCAGCCUCCAGGAGGCCACAGGCUCCAAAGUGAUUGUCGCUGUGAGAGACAGAAGCUCUACCCUGCGCGGUAUAGAAUGAGGGGGCUCGUGUAGUCUUUAGAGAACCUUUGAGGCUCCAGGGAGCAGGGAGGGGGCUUCUCGUGCCCUUCUUAGGGGGUUUUAUCAGCUUUUCCAGUUCAAACUCACACCAACUCCAGAGAGAGCAUUUAACCCACCUCCUCCACGCCUUUCAGCUUUUUAGUAAUCUGAGUCUUCCAUAAGCCCAGCCAAGAGAAGGAAUCCUCAUAAAAGAGCUCAGCUCCCGAAAUUGCCUGUUUUGGAACUGGAAAUGCAAUUUCAGCCCUAGAGCACCAGAGCAAAGAAAGCCACAGUUUACCACCAUCGAUCCCAGAAACUAAUGACUUAGCAGACUAGUCACUGAUUUUGAUUUUUAUAAUUGCUCUCCCAGGUUGUGCAUAGCACAUUCAACCCAUCCCCUGCCCGUGACAGCCCUGGACAGCAGCUGCCAGAAAUAAAUAAGACAAUACAGGCUGUUUUUCUAAAACUACUUACACACCUUGUAGAAUUAAAUACCACUCUUGUUCUGAUGCGUGGGACAGCUUUUUUGUUUCCUGGUAACCUGUCCUUUCCUGCGUCAGGGCAGGGGGACAGCUCUGCUGCUGGCCAGUGACAGUGUAUUGGAGAACCGCUGCCCUCCUAAUGUGCAGAGUCAACGUGCCUUCGUCCCCUGCUGACAGGGACAGGAGACACUCGUUAGUGGGCUUGGCCUGUCUGCUGUGCCCUUGGGUGCGUGCUCUAGAAUAAACGCUGAAAUGCUGAUCUGAAACUCCCCGUGAUUCAGCAUGACCCCUGCUCUGUGUAAUUCUUCUUGGCUUUUAUCAGCUGUGGCUCCAUCCCCAAGCUCUGCGCAGCCCUGGGCCUCCGCAUGGAAGGCACGUGGGCACAGGUGGCUUUCUUGGAUUGCUCUCAUUCUGGGUUUUGGAUCUCCUGGGCCUGGGUGUGGUAGCCGGCAGGCCUGGCCACACCCUCUCUCUCCCUCCCCCUCUCUAGGUGAGUGCUCCCCCGGCCCAGAGGGGAGUCGUGGAGACCUUGCACCCAGAGUCCCUCCUCAGGUCCAGCGGCAGUUCCAGCCAGCCGUCUCCAAUUUCCCAGCACGUGAUGGUCUCACUGGGGAGCCAGGCUUUGACGCUGCUCUGGUUUCCCCAUCUGUAAGGUGGAGACAAAGACGCCUGCCUAUCUACUUCCAGGGAUGAUGCGAAUCAAUGACAGUGGAAGUUCUUCAAAGCUGCAAAGACUUGCAUAAAUUUGAGAGGUUAUUAUUAUGUUCUUCUGUCUCCAAAGCUGGCCUUCCCCGAGGAGACAAUGCAGUGUUUUUGAACAUGCAGUGAAUUCCCCAAACUGACCCAUCCCCCUCUCCAGUAUUUCUUCCUUGGGUGGUUAAAAAUGGUAAUCUUCUCUCAGGCCUGAAAUUAUGAGCCUGCUUUAUUGGUCAAAGGCCAUAAUAAUUUGAGCUCUUAUUUUAUAAACUCAUUUCUGCACAGUGAUACCCUGAUAGGAGCAGGAAUAAUAAAUCACAAACAUGUCCCCCAAGAUUGCAUUGUAAAUGUCAAACUAGACAGUAAAUUAUAAUUAAAGAAAGGAAAUUGCUACAAAGAAGCACUUGAUGUUAAAAUGAGCCAAGCAUAGAAUUUUCUGAGCAUUUAAUUAUAGUCCAAUUUAACUGAGUUGGCUUUUACAGUCAUAUUUCUUAUUAUAACUCUUCUACAUAAUAACCAAAUCUCCCUGCUCACAUAGGGCCAGCCCAUCAGAGGGUAAGGACACUGCAUAGGUACAGGGAUUAGGAACUUUAUGAGGACAAUAAUCAUGGCAGAGGCUGAGAUGAUGGAUACAGGUGUCGGGAUUUUAAAUCAACCAUAAUCGAAUUUCCAGCCAAUAGGGGGAACAACCUAACACCUGUGCGGGAGCAGAUUUGGCCUGACUUCGAUGAGAAGUCACUCAAUGAGAAACUCACUCAGGCAUUUGCUUCUGUUGGGGGAAGAGGCCCAGGCUUCCACGAUCUGUUCCUUAGCCCCUCAAGCAUGCAUAGGAACAGCCCCCACCCAAUCCACCCACCUACAGGCCACACUUUGCCCGGGCUGUCACUUUGACUGGGCACAGUCCAACAUCCACAUCUUGCUUCUGAAUGCUGGGCAGUUUGGAUACGUAUUCAACCAGGCGUGCCGCAGGCAGAGGCCUUGGAGGCAGGAGAGCAGAGUGGCUAAGCACGUGGAACAUGGUGCCAGACAAGCUGAGGUCAACUUACUGUGAGUUGGGCUAAGUCAUAUAACCUCAAUGAGCCUCAAUUUUUUUUGUAAAAUGGGUAUAAUGAUAGACUCAUCUCAAACAUGAAUUAGUAAGUGCCUGCUACAUGGUUAACAUUCAAAACUGGAAGUGAUUAUAAUGAUUAUGGCUGAGUCUGUGCUGUGUCCAAAGAGGAAGACAGGGGAGUUGAUGGGCUAUGUUGAUUGAUGUGGGCGGCACAGCAGGUGGAGCUGAGCCAGUGCAGUGGGUGGUGGAUGUGGGAAAUGGGGGUGGUGAGGGAUGACCAGGGGCACUUUUUUGCUACCCCACAUGAUGAGGAAUGAUCAUACCACAUCAAGAAUUCUUUGCUGGCCCAGGAGUGAUCCCCAAAGUACCUGUCCCCUGGAUCUUGUCUUUCCAUCCACUUCUAGGGCCCAGAAACUGGUUAGCUUCUGGUUCAACUCCUGGUCUGUAGGGGCUGCUGCUUGCAGCUGGGAUUCUCCAUGCUGUCCUGCAGGCUUGGCCUCUUCCACAGGAGGGGGCAGAAAGACUCAGAACCAGGGGAUCUUUCUUUCUAGUGUCCUCCUCUCUCUUCAGACAAUUCAGGUUGUGGAGAUCAGACUAGGUAGAGUUAGACACCACUGGAACAGGCUGGUGUCAAAGCCCUGCUGCUAUCUCAGUGGAAACAUUGCCCAAGAAGGCACUGUGAAUGGGGGUCCAGCAGGUCUGAGUCUUGUGCUGAUUUUGCAGUUACACAAGCACCAGGGAGUGCUAUUUACACAGAUUACAUAUGAAUGCCCCCUCUUGGAAUUGUGCAGUGUACAACCUCCACAACGGAAAAUGGUUAACCUAGACUCUCGGCCCAGAGAUCAACUGGAGCUGGAUUGAUAAGGGGAUAACAGGGUCAGGUUGGACAAAUAGAACAGUUUGAAGAUUAGGACUGGAAGUGAAGAAUUGAAGAUCCUAGGAAUGCAACUAGAAACCAAGGGAGCAAAGUUCCAGAGAACUACAAAGGUGUGCCUAGAACCGUAGGUACAGGGAAGGGGAGGUGAUGGAUUCUAUCUCCUAUAUACCUCUGCUACAUGACGUUUGUCUCAUCCCUGUCCCCAAGAGAAGCAAGAAAGCAUUGAGUCAGGCACCCACCAGCCCUUCAGCGGAGGUCCCCCAUCUCAACUGGUGGUGAGUCAAAGGCAGAGGUCACAGCACAUGGGGCAGACUGUGUGUGCGUGGCUGGCUACAUAGGAUCGGAUUCCUGGGCUGUGGCCUCCUGGAGGAACGCUUCAUGGCAGAAUGCUGUGGAGGUGGUCACAGAGAGUGAGUCGGAGUCUUAUAGGCACCCGUGGGGGAAAGGCAUUCUAAGGAGGUUGGACAACCUGGGCAAACGUGGAGAAGUGUGAAAAUACUUUUUCAUUCAUUCAAAAAGUAUUUAUUGUACCAGGUACUGUUCUGGGCAGUGGGCAUACUUGAAUGUACAAAAUAGACAGCAAUCCUUGCCCUCGUGAAGUUUCCAUUCUAGUGGGAAGGGAGAGAUAACAAUGACUGCAAUAAACAAAUUAUACAAUAUGUCAGAAGGCAAUAAGUGCUAUGGAGAAAAACAAAGCAGGGAAGGGAAAUGGAGUGUUGGGCAGGAGUUGUGAUUUUGAAUAGGGUGACCAGAGACCUUCCUGGGAAGGUGAUAUUUGAGCCAAGACAUGAGGGAGGUAGAGGAGCAAGGCAAGCAGACGCACAGGAGAAGGUAUUCGAGGCAGAAGGAGGAAGCAGUGCAAAGGCCCUGAUGCACAUUCGAGGGACAGCCAUGAAGCCAUUGUGGAGUGAGGAGGGGAUGCAGUAGGAGAAGAUGGCACCAGGCUGCCCAGGGCAGGUGAUCGUAUGGACCCCAACAUGAUCAGGAUAUUUCUGACUAUGUCACUGCAAACAGACGGGAAGGGGUCAGGGGUGGAAGUGGAGAGAGUGGGAGACCAGUGUAGUGGAGUUGAGGCCGCACUGUGAGCUGCUGUUGGGGUCCGGGAGAUGCGUCCUGUGGCACACUCAGUGCUGGGCCUGACCUCGGCCAUCAGUUGGCGGUCCUGCUGCCCUAUUUCAUCCCUAAAUCUGCCCCAGGAAGGCUACGAUGUUAUUACUCUGGACCAAGAGAAUCCGAGGGCCAGCACGACGCUAACAUGCUGGUGUGGCCGUGGAAAGGACUCCACCCUGGCACCCAGGUUCCAGCCGUGUUCUUCAGAACAGCCAAAAGGUGGAAGCAACCCAAGUGUUCACCAGUGAUGAAUGGAUGAACCAAAUAUGGUCCAUACAUACAGUGGACUAUUAGUCAGCCUUAAAAAGGAAGGAGAUUCUGACGCAUGCUACCACGUGGAUGAACCUGGACACAUUGUGCUGAGUGAAUACAACAGUCACAAAAGAUCGCAUAUCAAGCCCAGGAUGAAAGAGGAACCCUCAGCCUGUCCUGCCUGCCCCAGCAAAAGCAAGUUCACGGUGACCGUGUGAUCCUCUUGGUGUGGAGAGGCUGUCACCCGGGUCUAAGCAAUGCAGCGUCCUCAGGGUGACAGGCAAGACCCAGGGCUCCAGCACGCUCCUGGUGAGCUACAAACAGGGCCACGGCCACCUGCGUGCCAGGAUCACCAUCAGGGCCUACCUGCCCCUCAAGGUUCCAGUCUCCAGCCACCUCGACCCCCUGGGGGACCUGGCCACCUAUAACCAGCAGGGCCUCCGAUUCGACAACUUCAGCUCUCUGAGCACCCACUGGGACUCCACCAGGCCGCUGCUGGCCAACAUUGAGCUUGACCACCCAUGCGGUUGGGGUCCCAGGACGAUGGGAGCGGCCGAAAGAAGCUUCUCGGUUGAAACUGCAAAUCAGGAGGAAGGGGUUGCUUCAGCAGUGGUGAUGGGGAGACAUCCAGCAUCAGUUUCCCUCUUCCUCGACUCAGG
Lemur catta (Ring-tailed lemur) is the source of this 5731-nucleotide RNA transcript. It is a transcript of the gene named serine/threonine-protein kinase MARK2-like, with no coding region annotated. Lineage: Eukaryota; Metazoa; Chordata; Mammalia; Primates; Lemuridae. The transcript is spliced from 6 exons. The record is from RefSeq and is a predicted model, not a curated record.